AUACGGAGGGGGCUAGCGUUGUUCGGAAUUACUGGGCGUAAAGCGCGCGUAGGCGGAUUGAUCAGUCAGGGGUGGAAUCCCGAGGCUUAACCUCGGAACUGCCUUUGAUACUGUCAAUCUUGAGUUCGAGAGAGGUGAGUGGAAUUCCUAGUGUAGAGGUGAAAUUCGUAGAUAUUAGGAAGAACACCAGUGGCGAAGGCGGCUCACUGGCUCGAUACUGACGCUGAGGUGCGAAAGCGUGGGGAGCAAACAGGAUUAGAAACCCCAGUAGUCC
This 274-nucleotide ribosomal RNA is filed under the name uncultured bacterium. RNAcentral's name for it is "partial 16S ribosomal RNA". It matches the Rfam family "Bacterial small subunit ribosomal RNA", at positions 523 to 796 of the family's 1533-position model. The record is from RNAcentral.